GUCCACGCUGUAAACGAUGACAACUAGAUGUUGGGAGGGGAACCUUUCAGUAUCGAAGUUAACACUAUAAGUUGUCCGCCUGGGAAGUACGGCCGCAAGGUUGAAACUCAAAGGAAUUGACUGGGGCCCGCACAAGCGGUGGAGCAUGUGGUUUAAUUCGAUGCAACGCGAAGAACCUUACCUACCCUUGACAUCUAAAGAAUCCUGAUGAGAGUUGGGAGUGCCGAAAGGAGCUUUAAGACAGGUGCUGCAUGGCUGUCGU
RNAcentral lists this ribosomal RNA (262 nucleotides) under uncultured bacterium. Its description in RNAcentral is "partial 16S ribosomal RNA". It matches the Rfam family "Bacterial small subunit ribosomal RNA", at positions 793 to 1055 of the family's 1533-position model. The record is from RNAcentral.